AAGUCGUAACAAGGUUUCCGUAGGUGAACCUGCGGAAGGAUCAUUACCUAGAGUUGUAGGCUUUGCCUGCUAUCUCUUACCCAUGUCUUUUGAGUACCUUACGUUUCCGAACCCACCGAUUGGACAAAUUUAAACCCUUUGCAGUUGAAAUCAGCGUCUGAAAAAACUUAAUAGUUACAACUUUCAACAACGGAUCUCUUGGUUCUG
Molecule: unclassified non-coding RNA, 207 nt
Filed under: fungal sp.
Lineage: Eukaryota; Fungi
Description: partial internal transcribed spacer region
Rfam family: Eukaryotic small subunit ribosomal RNA (bases 1-46)
Source: RNAcentral